UACGGAGGGUGCGAGCGUUAUUCGGAAUCAUUGGGCGUAAAGAGCGUGUAGGCGGCCGGUUAAGUCAGGUGUGAAAGCCCGGGGCUCAACCUCGGAAGUGCACUUGAAACUGGUCGGCUUGAGUUCGGGAGAGGGAAGCGGAAUUCCUGGUGUAGAGGUGAAAUUCGUAGAUAUCAGGAGGAACACCGGUGGCGAAGGCGACUUCCUGGCCCGAAACUGACGCUGAGACGCGAAAGCGUGGGGAGCAAACAGG
Molecule: ribosomal RNA, 253 nt
Filed under: uncultured bacterium
Lineage: Bacteria
Description: partial 16S ribosomal RNA
Rfam family: Bacterial small subunit ribosomal RNA
Source: RNAcentral